GUGGGCAUAGUUUAAACCAAAACACCAGACUGUGAUCCUGGAAACAGAGGCUCUCCUC
Molecule: transfer RNA, 58 nt
Filed under: Varanus kingorum
Lineage: Eukaryota; Metazoa; Chordata; Lepidosauria; Squamata; Varanidae
Description: partial tRNA-His
Source: RNAcentral